Molecule: ribosomal RNA, 492 nt
Filed under: uncultured bacterium
Lineage: Bacteria
Description: partial 16S ribosomal RNA
Rfam family: Bacterial small subunit ribosomal RNA
Source: RNAcentral
AGUGAACGCUGGCGGUAGGCCUAACACAUGCAAGUCGAACGGCAGCACAGUAAGAGCUUGCUCUUACGGGUGGCGAGUGGCGGACGAGUGAGGAAUACAUCGGAAUCUACUUUUUCGUGGGGGAUAACGUAGGGAAACUUACGCUAAUACCGCAUACGACGUACGGGUGAAAGCAGGGGAUCUUCGGACCUUGCGCGUUUGAAUGAGCCGCUGUCGGAUUAGCUAGUUGGCGGGGUAAAGGCCCACCAAGGCGACGAUCCGUAGCUGGUCUGAGAGGAUGAUCAGCCACACUGGAGCUGAGACACGGUCCAGACUCCUACGGGAGGCAGCAGUGGGGAAUAUUGGACAAUGGGCGCAAGCCUGAUCCAGCCAUACCGCGUGGGUGAAGAAGGCCUUCGGGUUGUAAAGCCCUUUUGUUGGGAAAGAAAAGCAGCAGGUUAAUACCCCGCUGUUCUGACGGUACCCAAAGAAUAAGCACCGGCUAACUUCGUG